GUGCUCGCUUCGACAGCACAUAUACUAAAAUUGGAACGAUACAGAAAAGAUUAGCAUGGCCCCUGCGCGAGGAUGACACACAAAUUCGUGAAGCGUUCCAUAUUUUU
Molecule: small nuclear RNA, 107 nt
Filed under: Dasypus novemcinctus (nine-banded armadillo)
Lineage: Eukaryota; Metazoa; Chordata; Mammalia; Cingulata; Dasypodidae
Source: RNAcentral